AUGCAGAACUACGCCAGCUAGUUCAUGGACCUGAAUGUACCGCGGAAAUGCCCCGCCAGCAACCGCAUGAUCGGUACCAAGGACCACGUGCCAUCCAGAUGAACAUGGUCAAGGUUGACAUGGUAACAGGUAGGUUCAAUGGCCAGUUUAAAAUCUACGCUAUCUGUGAGGCCAUUCACAGGAUGGGUGUCAGAUGACUCCAUUCUCUGACUGGCCAAGACUGAGGGCAUCAUCUCAAAGAACUUCUGACUGGAGAGGAUCACAGAUAUGGGGUAUUUGUCAUAAAUAAAUAGUGAAAACC
Molecule: RNA transcript, 301 nt
Organism: Hippopotamus amphibius kiboko
Lineage: Eukaryota; Metazoa; Chordata; Mammalia; Artiodactyla; Hippopotamidae
Gene name: 40S ribosomal protein S21-like
Exons: 1
Source: RefSeq, a predicted model, not a curated record